GGGUUGUGAGGUUAAGCGACUAAGCGUACACGGUGGAUGCCUAGGCAAUCAGAGGCGAUGAAGGACGUGCUAAUCUGCGAUAAGCGUCGGUAAGGUGAUAUGAACCGUUAUAACCGACGAUUUCCGAAUGGGGAAACCCAGUGCAAUUCGUUGCACUAUCGUUUGAUGAAUACAUAGUCAAACGAAGCGAACCGAGGGAACUGAAACAUCUCAGUACCUCGAGGAAAAGAAAUCAACCGAGAUUCCCCUAGUAGCGGCGAGCGAACGGGGAGCAGCCCAGAGUCUUAAUCAGCAUUAGCAUCAGGAGAACGGUCUGGAAAGGCCGGCAGUAAAGGGUGAUAGCCCCGUAUCCGAAGGUGUUAGUGUUGUGAACUCGACGAGUAGGGCGGGACACGUGUUAUCCUGUCUGAAUAUGGGGGGACCAUCCUCCAAGGCUAAAUACUCCUGAUUGACCGAUAGUGAACCAGUACCGUGAGGGAAAGGCGAAAAGAACCCCGGCGAGGGGAGUGAAAUAGAACCUGAAACCGUGUACGUACAAGCAGUGGGAGCACCUUUAUGGUGUGACUGCGUACCUUUUGUAUAAUGGGUCAGCGACUUAUAUUCUGUAGCAAGGUUAACCGUAUAGGGGAGCCGUAGGGAAACCGAGUCUUAACUGGGCGAAUGAGUUGCAGGGUAUAGACCCGAAACCCGGUGAUCUAGCCAUGGGCAGGUUGAAGGUUGGGUAACACUAACUGGAGGACCGAACCGACUAAUGUUGAAAAAUUAGCGGAUGACUUGUGGCUGGGGGUGAAAGGCCAAUCAAACCGGGAGAUAGCUGGUUCUCCCCGAAAGCUAUUUAGGUAGCGCCUCGUGAACUCAUCUUCGGGGGUAGAGCACUGUUUCGACUAGGGGGUCAUCCCGACUUACCAACUCGAUGCAAACUACGAAUACCGAAGAAUGUUAUCACGGGAGACACACGGCGGGUGCUAACGUUCGUCGUGAAGAGGGAAACAACCCAGACCGCCAGCUAAGGUCCCAAAGUCAUAGUUAAGUGGGAAACGAAGUGGGAAGGCUCAGACAGCCAGGAUGUUGGCUUAGAAGCAGCCAUCAUUUAAAGAAAGCGUAAUAGCUCACUGGUCGAGUCGGCCUGCGCGGAAGAUGUAACGGGGCUAAACUAUGCACCGAAGCUGCGGCAGCGAUAUGUAAAUAUUGUUGGGUAGGGGAGCGUUCUGUAAGCCUGUGAAGGUGUACUGUGAGGUAUGCUGGAGGUAUCAGAAGUGCGAAUGCUGACAUAAGUAACGAUAAUGCGGGUGAAAAACCCGCACGCCGGAAGACCAAGGGUUCCUGUCCAACGUUAAUCGGGGCAGGGUGAGUCGACCCCUAAGGCGAGGCAGAAAUGCGUAGUCGAUGGGAAACGGGUUAAUAUUCCCGUACUGGUGAUAAUUGCGAUGGGGGGACGGAGAAGGUUAGGCUGGCCGGGCGACGGUUGUCCCGGUUUAAGGAUGUAGGCAGGUGAAUUAGGCAAAUCCGGUUCACUAUAUGCUGAGGUCUGAUGACGAGUCACUACGGUGGCGAAGUAGCUCAUACCCCGCUUCCAGGAAAAGCCUCUAAGCUCUAGAUUAUCAUUAAUCGUACCCCAAACCGACACAGGUGGUCAGGUAGAGAAUACUCAGGCGCUUGAGAGAACUCGGGUGAAGGAACUAGGCAAAAUGGUGCCGUAACUUCGGGAGAAGGCACGCUGGCAUUAGGUGAAGUGGUUUACCCAUGGAGCUGAAGCCAGUCGCAGAUACCAGCUGGCUGCAACUGUUUAUUAAAAACACAGCACUGUGCAAACACGAAAGUGGACGUAUACGGUGUGACGCCUGCCCGGUGCUGGAAGGUUAAUUGAUGGGGUUAUCCGUAAGGAGAAGCUCUUGAUCGAAGCCCCAGUAAACGGCGGCCGUAACUAUAACGGUCCUAAGGUAGCGAAAUUCCUUGUCGGGUAAGUUCCGACCUGCACGAAUGGCGUAAUGAUGGCCAGGCUGUCUCCACCCGAGACUCAGUGAAAUUGAACUCGCUGUGAAGAUGCAGUGUACCCGCGGCAAGACGGAAAGACCCCGUGAACCUUUACUAUAGCUUGACACUGAACAUUGAGCCUUGAUGUGUAGGAUAGGUGGGAGGCUUUGAAGCGUGGACGCCAGUCUGCGUGGAGCCAACCUUGAAAUACCACCCUUUAAUGUUUGAUGUUCUAACGUAGCCCCGUAAUCCGGGGUGCGGACAGUGUCUGGUGGGUAGUUUGACUGGGGCGGUCUCCUCCCAAAGAGUAACGGAGGAGCACGAAGGUUGGCUAAGCAUGGUCGGACAUCAUGCGGUUAGUGCAAAGGCAUAAGCCAGCUUGACUGCGAGAGUGACGGCUCGAGCAGGUACGAAAGUAGGUCUUAGUGAUCCGGUGGUUCUGUAUGGAAGGGCCAUCGCUCAACGGAUAAAAGGUACUCCGGGGAUAACAGGCUGAUACCGCCCAAGAGUUCAUAUCGACGGCGGUGUUUGGCACCUCGAUGUCGGCUCAUCACAUCCUGGGGCUGAAGUAGGUCCCAAGGGUACGGCUGUUCGCCGUUUAAAGUGGUACGCGAGCUGGGUUUAGAACGUCGUGAGACAGUUCGGUCCCUAUCUGCCGUGGGCGUUGGAAGAUUGAAAGGGGCUGCUCCUAGUACGAGAGGACCGGAGUGGACGCACCACUGGUGUUCGGGUUGUCAUGCCAAUGGCAUUGCCCGGUAGCUAAGUGCGGAAGAGAUAACCGCUGAAAGCAUCUAAGCGGGAAACUUGCCUUGAGAUGAGUCUUCCCUGACCCUUUAAGGGUCCUAAAGGAACGUUUAAGACUAAGACGUUGAUAGGUUGGGUGUGUAAGCGUAGCGAUACGUUGAGCUAACCAAUACUAAUGAACCGUGAGGCUUAACCUGACAACACCGAAGGUGUUU
This 2933-nucleotide ribosomal RNA is filed under the name Providencia sp. wls1950. Its description in RNAcentral is "23S ribosomal RNA". It matches the Rfam family "Bacterial large subunit ribosomal RNA". Lineage: Bacteria; Pseudomonadati; Pseudomonadota; Gammaproteobacteria; Enterobacterales; Morganellaceae. The record is from RNAcentral.